GACGGAGGGGGCAAGCGUUGUUCGGAAUUAUUGGGCGUAGAGGGCUCGUAGGCGGACCUGUAAGUUUGACGUGAAAUCUCCACCGCUCACCGGGGAGGGGCCGUUGAAUACUGCAGGUCUGGAGUUCGGCAGAGGACCAUGGAAUUCCAGGUGUAGCGGUGGAAUGCGUAGAUAUCUGGAAGAACACCGGUGGCGAAGGCGGUGGUCUGGGCCUGAACUGACGCUGAGGAGCGAAAGCCAGGGGAGCAAACGGG
Molecule: ribosomal RNA, 254 nt
Filed under: uncultured bacterium
Lineage: Bacteria
Description: partial 16S ribosomal RNA
Rfam family: Bacterial small subunit ribosomal RNA
Source: RNAcentral